RNAcentral lists this transfer RNA (82 nucleotides) under Rhipicephalus sanguineus (brown dog tick). RNAcentral describes it as "transfer RNA leucine (anticodon UAG)". It matches the Rfam family "tRNA". From Rfam's summary of the family: Transfer RNA (tRNA) molecules are approximately 80 nucleotides in length. The record is from Rfam by way of RNAcentral. Lineage: Eukaryota; Metazoa; Arthropoda; Arachnida; Ixodida; Ixodidae.
GGUAGCGUGGCCGAGUGGUCUAAGGCGCUGGUUUUAGGUACCAGUCUCCCCGGAGGCGUGGGUUUGAAUCCCACCGCUGCCA